CAUGCGCAGUUGCCCCUGACCCCAUGUUUGAAUGAGGCGGUCAAAUCUCAAACAAGCGGGACGAGACAUACUGCUGCAUAGUGUCACGGCUUUGAUUUCUGAAGACAGAAACCUAGCUAUGCAUUGGAAGUAUUCUGGCAGAGUUCUGUCGCUUGUCAAGCAAAAACUUGAAUACAGAAUUCUUCAAAGAACUUGACAAAUACACUCCUCGCUUCUUUGAGAUCUUCAAGACCAAGGGGGGAAGUGUUGGCCAGAAACUUAAGAAUUAUCUGCAACAAGUCACACCGGAGAGUACAGAUGUUACUGCAAAGCGAACAGCUGUCCUCCGUGGCCUUCCUGUCAUCCUUGGAGAUGAGAACACAGACUUCUUCAAGACAUGCUUUGACUGCGAUGACACAGGCAUGUCUCACACCCCCAUUGGAAUCCUGACCAUUGUUCCUGAGGACGAACAGCUCUCCCUUGACUCACUGCACCUUCAGACUUCAGGUACCGCAAUCAUUUUGGAAGGAAGAAUUGUGAUGGAUGACCUUGAAAAUCUUCCACAUGCCAUGUGCUUGCUCUUUGGACUUACUUACGCCCUGAAUUUGGAGUACCCUCAACAGCUGAAGUACACCUUUGACUUCAUUCAAAGGGUGCUUCUCUCACUUGGACAUAAUUCCCUAAAACCAAAAAUACAAUCACUCAAAAAUCUUCUGAUGCAAUGAGUGAAUGUAAUCAUGAUGUGAAUGUGAUGUGACAUCUUGGGUCACAUUGAUACCUUUUCCCUUAUUGGAAAAGUGAUAUUUUUUUCUUGUUUGAGCCUUUUUUGUGGGAAGGAGCCUCAUCGCCCUUUUUAGACUACUGAAUGGUUUUUAUGUUCAUGAGGAGAAAAAUGAACACCUAUAGCUUUUGUUUUUCCUUUUGUGUUGAUGCUGAAAUGAUUGUGGUGAUAUUGAUUACCAGCAUCAGGUUCUUUAGCAAGUUAUCUCUGACUUAAUAUAUGUUGUAAGUCAAUCUCUACUGCAGUUCUAAACUCAACCACUAAGAAUUUAAAUCAGAAAGCUUUUAGCAGUUUUUAGCGGGAGCUGGCUCAAACAUAAGAAUUACAGUUGCACAUUCAGUUGAAAUAAUGAUUUUGUUUUGCAAUCAUGCAAUAGGUGGAUUGUAAACAGUUGAGCUAUGUCUGCUGUUCACUUUAUUGAUGUUAAGAUAAAUGUUAGGCCCUGCAAUUACUGAGUUUAUCUAUAGUUCACACCAUAUUCAACAGAGAUAUUAAGCAGGAAUUCUCAAAGUUUUAAUGACUGAGGGCUGUUUUAGGGACUCAAUAUUAGAUUGAAAGCCACCCAAGAAAAAAGUCGUGUCACUUUUUUCCUGAAAAAGUUAGUCUUUUAUAUUACAUGCUUUUUAUGUAAUACAAAAAAAAAAAAAUAA
Amphiprion ocellaris (clown anemonefish) is the source of this 1410-nucleotide long non-coding RNA. RefSeq lists it as uncharacterized. The record is from RefSeq and is a predicted model, not a curated record. The transcript is spliced from 5 exons. NCBI's taxonomy places the organism in Eukaryota, Metazoa, Chordata, Actinopteri, Pomacentridae.